CAUGCAAGUCGACGGUAACGCGGACUUCGGUCUGGCGACGAGUGGCGAACGGGUGAGUAAUGCAUCGGAACGUAUCCAUUUAUGGGGGAUAGCCCGGCGGAAGCCGGAUUAAUACCGCAUAAUCUCCGAGGAGGAAAGUGGGGGACCUUCGGGCCUUACGCUGAUGGAGCGGCUGAUGUCGGAUUAGCUUGUUGGUAGGGUAAAGGCCUACCAAGGCGACGAUCCGUAGCUGGUCUGAGAGGACGACCAGCCACACUGGAACUGAGACACGGUCCAGACUCCUACGGGAGGCAGCAGUGGGGAAUUUUGGACAAUGGGGGCAACCCUGAUCCAGCCAUGCCGCGUGCGGGACGAAGGCCUUCGGGUUGUAAACCGCUUUCAGACGGAAAGAAACAGCACAAGCUAAUAACUUGUGCGAAUGACGGUACCGUCAGAAGAAGCACCGGCUAACUACGUGCCAGCAGCCGCGGUAAUACGUAGGGUGCGAGCGUUAAUCGGAAUUACUGGGCGUAAAGGGUGCGCAGGCGGCUCUCUAAGACAGGUGUGAAAUCCCCGGGCUUAACCUGGGAAUGGCGCUUGUGACUGGAGAGCUAGAGUGUGGCAGAGGGGAAUGGAAUUCCUGGUGUAGCAGUGAAAUGCGUAGAUAUCAGGAGGAACACCGAUGGCGAAGGCAGUUCCCCUGGGCCAACACUGACG
RNAcentral lists this ribosomal RNA (696 nucleotides) under uncultured bacterium. RNAcentral describes it as "bacterial SSU rRNA". It matches the Rfam family "Bacterial small subunit ribosomal RNA", at positions 54 to 745 of the family's 1533-position model. The record is from RNAcentral.